UCCCCUAGUAACGGCGAGUGAAGCGGGAUGAGCUCAAAUUUGAAAUCUGGCUGGUUUACUAGUCCGAGUUGUAAUUUAAAGAAGCGUUUUCGGUGGCAGCCUGGGUAUAAAUCCUUUGGAAUAGGGUAUCAUAGAGGGUGAGAAUCCCGUCUUUGACCUAGUGCAUGCUACUAUGUGAUACGUUUUCAAAGAGUCGAGUUGUUUGGGAAUGCAGCUCAAAAUGGGUGGUAAAUUUCAUCUAAAGCUAAAUAUUGGCGAGAGACCGAUAGCGAACAAGUACCGUGAGGGAAAGAUGAAAAGAACUUUGAAAAGAGAGUUAAACAGUGCGUGAAAUUGUUGAAAGGGAAACGUUUGACACCAGUCAUGUGGGUGGAAAAUCAGUCUUUUGCAUUGGGGAGUUGUAAGGGUUCGGACCGCAAGGCCGGCUUUUGCUUCAUCUUUGGUGUAAGUGAUGCACUUUUUCAUCUACAGGUCAACAUCAGUUUCUUUUGCUGGACAAAACUCCGAGAGAAGGUAGCAGCUUAGGCUGUGUUAUAGCUCUGGAGCGAUACAGUGAAGGGGACUGAGGUUUUCGCAGCGUGUGCUCUCGGGCAAGGCUGGAUGGGUGCUAUGGGAUCGUUCGGGGUACAAUGCCUGGCAUUUUGCUUCGUGUCUU
This 655-nucleotide ribosomal RNA is filed under the name Mortierella sp. RNAcentral describes it as "partial large subunit ribosomal RNA". It matches the Rfam family "Eukaryotic large subunit ribosomal RNA", at positions 76 to 621 of the family's 3401-position model. The record is from RNAcentral. Lineage: Eukaryota; Fungi; Mortierellomycota; Mortierellomycetes; Mortierellales; Mortierellaceae.